GAAAAUUGUUCGGAUUUACCACACAAAAAAGAAAAAAAAAAUGCAGGAUUUUCAAAUAAUUCGCAACCGAUUAUUGCUUAUUUCGCAACCAAUAAUUUUAAAUAAUUAAUUAUCUGCCAAUACGAAAUUUGAGUUUGCAACAGAUUAUUUCCACCGCGAAAAAAUAAUUCGCAAACCAAUAAUUUCAAAUAAUUCGUAACCAAAUAUCUAUAUUUGAGUUUGACACGUGGCAAGCAGAAAACCACGUGUCGGCUUCUCACAUAGGGUUUAUUAAGGGUUUUACUUUUAUAUAUAGUAAUAGAUAGAUAGAUAUGCUUCUGCGUUUUUUGGCGGGACCACAGAAAAUAUAUCGUAACCGAGUCAACGGAAUAUGCGGAAUGCAAUAUUACGUACGAAAACAAAUAUGGUAUUAACGCAAUCUCUUCGCAAUCCAAACCGAAGCAUAAUAAUGCUGUAGAUUUA
Molecule: long non-coding RNA, 462 nt
Filed under: Ananas comosus (pineapple)
Lineage: Eukaryota; Viridiplantae; Streptophyta; Magnoliopsida; Poales; Bromeliaceae
Description: long non-coding RNA (ACOM_LNC000014)
Source: RNAcentral